RNAcentral lists this ribosomal RNA (452 nucleotides) under uncultured bacterium. RNAcentral describes it as "partial 16S ribosomal RNA". It matches the Rfam family "Bacterial small subunit ribosomal RNA", at positions 29 to 523 of the family's 1533-position model. The record is from RNAcentral.
AACGAACGCUGGCGGCAGGUCUUAGGCAUGCAAGUCGAACGGGUGUAGCAAUACAUCAGUGGCGCACGAGUGAGUAACGCGUGGGAAUUUGCCCAUCGGUGGGGAAUAACGUUUGGAAACGAACGCUAAUACCGCAUACGUCGAGAAAUCGAGAAAGAUUAUCGCCGAUGGAUAAGCCCGCGUUGGAUUAGCUUGUUGGUAGGGUAAUGGCCUACCAAGGCGAUGAUCCAUAGCUGGUCUGAGAGGACGAUCAGCCACGCUGGGACUGAGACACGGCCCAGACCCCUACGGGAGGCAGCAGCUAAGAAUAUUGGACAAUGGAGGAAACUCUGAUCCAGCCAUGCCGCGUGAGUGAAGAAGGCCUUCGGGUUGUAAAGCUCUUUUAGUCGUGAGGAUGAUGACGGUAGCGACAGAAAAAGCACCGGCUAACUUCGUGCCAGCCGCCGCCGUAA